CCUACGGGAGGCAGCAGUGAGGAAUAGUGGUCAAUGGGCGCAAGCCUGAACCAGCCAAGUCGCGUGAGGGAUGACGGUCCUAUGGAUUGUAAACCUCUUUUGUCGGGGAGCAAGGCCCGCCACGUGUGGCGGGAAGGAGAGUACCCGAAGAAAAAGCAGAGGCGAACUCCGUGCCAGCAGCCGCGGUAAUACGGAGGAUGCGAGCGUUAGCCGGAUUUAUUGGGUUGAAAGGGGGCGUCGGCGGAAGGUUAAGUCAGCGGUCAAAUGUCGGGGCUCAACACCGGCCUGCCGUUGAAACUGGUCUUCUUGAGUGGGCGAGAAGUAUGCGGAAUGCGUGGUGUAGCGG
RNAcentral lists this ribosomal RNA (346 nucleotides) under uncultured bacterium. RNAcentral's name for it is "partial 16S ribosomal RNA". It matches the Rfam family "Bacterial small subunit ribosomal RNA", at positions 338 to 681 of the family's 1533-position model. The record is from RNAcentral.